GAUGAACGCUGGCGGCGUGCCUAAUACAUGCAAGUCGAGCGAACAGACGAGGAGCUUGCUCCUCUGACGUUAGCGGCGGACGGGUGAGUAACACGUGGAUAACCUACCUAUAAGACUGGGAUAACUUCGGGAAACCGGCGCUAAUACCGGAUAAUAUAUUGAACCGCAUGGUUCAAUAGUGAAAGACGGUUUUGCUGUCACUACUAGAUGGUUCCGCGCCGCAUUAGCUGGUUGGUGAGGUAACGGCUUACCAAGGCAACGAUGCGUAGCCGACGUGCGAGGGGGAUCGGCCGCCCUGGAGCGGGACCAGGGUCAAGAGGCCUGAGGGAGGCAGCAGACGGCAAUGUUCCGCAGUGGGCGGGAGCCUGACGGAGUGACGCCGCGUGAGUGAUGGCGAUGUCGGGAGCGUAAAACUGGGUUAUUAGUGAAGAACAGAUGUGUCCGUAACUGUGCACGUCUUGACGGUACUUAGUCAGAAAGCCACGGCUAACUACGUG
Molecule: ribosomal RNA, 497 nt
Filed under: uncultured bacterium
Lineage: Bacteria
Description: partial 16S ribosomal RNA
Rfam family: Bacterial small subunit ribosomal RNA
Source: RNAcentral